CUGCUGAUGCGGCAGACGUACUCGCCGGAGUGGGCGGAGGAGACCUGCGGGAUGCGGAGGCGAGUGCCCGAGACCUGUCAAGGAGAGGGAGGGGCCUGCCACAUGCCACAACGGGCACCUACUGGAUGAGCCGCCUGAGCUGCUGGAAAUGGACACCAUGAUGGACGUCUCCAGUCGGCUGGUGCCAUCGUUCGCGUAGCAGACGUACUCGCCCGAAUCGGCUGCCGAAACUUGCGAGAUCCGGAGGCGGGUUCCAAAAAUCUGUUGCCGAGGGAAAAAAAGCAGACAACGAAGAGCUGAUUUCUUUUACCAACUGAAGCCAUUUUCCACUCCCACCCUCCUUGGAUUUCCCAAAGCCCCGAUGUCAAGGUCCAGCGUGAGAAUCCAAAUAAAACUCCAGGUUCAUUCUGUUCCCGAAAAUCUUGCUGUUUAUUGAAUACACUGCAUGGUAACGUCGAAGUAAAACUAACUCUGAGGUUCCCAAACACCAGUUGAUAGAAUUAAACAAUAAUUUUCCCAGCCAAACCCUCGACCUCUCACAUUGUCCUCGCUUAGUUAUGGGAACCGUCUGCUUCAACCCUACACCUGUUAUGAUGUCCUUGAGAAGGUUUCAGGCUCUCACAGUCUUCAGCGGAAUCGCAAAGUUUCUCCAUCUAACACAUUCUAAACCAACACCUCCCUCCCCACUCUAAUGGUAAGUUGAAACGAAGAGGCACACAGCUGUUAAAGUUUCAUCCUUGACACUCGGUUUCCAUUUCUUAAGCCCCCAAAUAUUACGCCAAGGCAUUUCAGGAGAUCCCUCAUCACAAGACCAAAAAUGCAUAACACACAUUCUGAAAAAAUAAUGUCUGGAUAAUCCAGUUUGCCCAUAAUCACAAGCCCGCUUCCUUUCCAUCAGCCUCCCUCUGCAGCCUCUGGGUCUCCCAAAGCCCACCUUUGCUCAAAUGCUGCGGGAAUCUCUGCCACGUCCCCUUACCUGACUGUGGACGGGCAGGGCGCCCUCGCGCUUGUACCACAUCACCCUGGCUUGGGACUGACCGGCCACCAGGCAGUUCAGGUCCAAGGUCUGCCCCUCGGAGAUGACUGAGGAGGGGGUUUCAAUCCUGAUCGGGGGAGUGACGCCCACAGCUGGAAGAGCCAGGAGGAAGGAGAAAACAGGGAACCUGUCAAGAUCCGAAGCGUACUCAUGCUGCUUUCAUUUUUACUGCUUCUCAGCUUGCCAAUGAACAAUGGGGGGAGGGAAGGGAGAAUUGGAAUGUGGAUUGUAACCAUCAAGCACUCAGCCCGUGAGAACCAAGGUCACUUCAGCAGGUGCUUGCCAGACCUUCCAGAGCAACUUCUCAUAACAAUAUUGUGACACUUAAUUGGACAAUGUGUCCUGCACUAUUGGAGGGAGGGAGGAAUCUAUACUUCAAUUAUAUUGAAUUGCGCGGGAAAUUAGCCAGAGCUGAUUUUGCUUUCAUUCUGUGCCGAAAUGAUGUACACAAUAAAGUUUUGCAUUGAGAUCCAAA
Pantherophis guttatus is the source of this 1511-nucleotide non-coding RNA. NCBI's taxonomy places the organism in Eukaryota, Metazoa, Chordata, Lepidosauria, Squamata, Colubridae. The record is from RefSeq and is a predicted model, not a curated record.